This 489-nucleotide ribosomal RNA is filed under the name Shigella sonnei. Its description in RNAcentral is "partial 23S ribosomal RNA". It matches the Rfam family "Bacterial large subunit ribosomal RNA", at positions 512 to 1001 of the family's 2925-position model. Lineage: Bacteria; Pseudomonadati; Pseudomonadota; Gammaproteobacteria; Enterobacterales; Enterobacteriaceae. The record is from RNAcentral.
AGGCGAAAAGAACCCCGGCGAGGGGAGUGAAAAAGAACCUGAAACCGUGUACGUACAAGCAGUGGGAGCACGCUUAGGCGUGUGACUGCGUACCUUUUGUAUAAUGGGUCAGCGACUUAUAUUCUGUAGCAAGGUUAACCGAAUAGGGGAGCCGAAGGGAAACCGAGUCUUAACUGGGCGUUAAGUUGCAGGGUAUAGACCCGAAACCCGGUGAUCUAGCCAUGGGCAGGUUGAAGGUUGGGUAACACUAACUGGAGGACCGAACCGACUAAUGUUGAAAAAUUAGCGGAUGACUUGUGGCUGGGGGUGAAAGGCCAAUCAAACCGGGAGAUAGCUGGUUCUCCCCGAAAGCUAUUUAGGUAGCGCCUCGUGAAUUCAUCUCCGGGGGUAGAGCACUGUUUCGGCAAGGGGGUCAUCCCGACUUACCAACCCGAUGCAAACUGCGAAUACCGGAGAAUGUUAUCACGGGAGACACACGGCGGGUGCUAA